RNAcentral lists this ribosomal RNA (386 nucleotides) under uncultured bacterium. RNAcentral describes it as "partial 16S ribosomal RNA". It matches the Rfam family "Bacterial small subunit ribosomal RNA", at positions 523 to 918 of the family's 1533-position model. The record is from RNAcentral.
AUACGUAGGGGGCGAGCGUUAUCCGGAUUUAUUGGGCGUAAAGCGUGUGUAGGCGGUUUGUUAAGUUUAAGAUUAAAGCCCGAGGCUUAACCUCGGUUCGUCUCAACAACUGGCAGACUUGAGUGCAGUAGAGGCAAGUGGAAUUUCUAGGGUAGCGGUUAAAUGCGUAGAAAUUAGAAGGAACACCAGUGGCGAAGGCGGCUUGCUGGGCUGUUACUGACGCUGAGACACGAAAGCGUGGGGAGCAAAUAGGAUUAGAUACCCUAGUAGUCCACGCCGUAAACGAUGAGUACUAAGUGUCGGGUAACCGGUGCUGAAGUUAACACAUUAAGUACUCCGCCUGAGUAGUACGGUCGCAAGGCUGAAACUCAAAUGAAUUGACGGGG